GAAGGCCGUGUCACGGUAGCCACCUUCUCGCCCCCUCAGCGCCCUGCGCCGCAGCCCCUGCCAAGCGGGUGUCCCUGUGGACCCGGACCUGGCGGGCCCCCUGACUGGGGUACCACUGGGGGCCGGGCCCUAACCCAAGCUUAGGGUCGCGCCGGGGCACUUCCGGCCACCCGCGUGACCCUCGCCGCGUCGCCUGCCGCGCUACCAACCCGCCACCGCCGCCACCGCCGGGUCGCCAUGGCGACGCCGCGGCACCGAGGGCGGCGCGGCUCGCAGAACCUGCAGAGCAGCCGGGGCGCGGCGCGGGGAGCUCGUGGGCCGGUGGGCGGCGCGGCCGGGACAAGCUCGGGGCCGGGAGCCUGGCCAGCUAUCGCAUCUGGCUCUUACCUCACCUGCUCUCCCCGGCCCGGGGGCCAUGGAACAGGGCCCGAGGUUAAAGAGCUCGUCCUUCUCCUUCCUGAGCGGUCAACCUUGGGUCCCGGGUCUACCUGUGUGCCGAGUCUCUUCUGAAGUUAGAAUGGAGAGGCAAGUGAUCCCAGGUUUAUCUAUGGGCCUUCGGCUAAUAUUUUGCCAUGUUCUACAGCUAGGGCAGAAGUACGGAAGAACAUAGGGAGAAUGGAUCAAUCAGCGUUUGCCACGACUGGUCUUUUGAAACCUGAAACCGAGACUGCCAGCUACUUUGCCUCCCUCCACCUAGCCUCUUUUUCCUGUAGGAGGGUCUUAGGUUGACAUGUCUAGAUAUUAGAUCCCUUUCUUGCUCUCUUCUUAACAUCCUCAGCUUUUUGCGUGAGAAUGAGAGUUUCUCAUUUGGGAAAUCCUGACUUGUUGGGUUGGCCUUGGUGGGCCAUGAACUGGGGCUGCAGAACUGAGCUAAGGGAUCUGCUGCUGCCUUUGACACCUGCAUGAUGGCAGGGCCACCUCCCGUCUCUGCCUGCCCUUUCUCCCAGGGCACCACAGAGACCCAGGUCUUCAGAGGCUGGCACCCCUUCCAAGUCCUUCUCCCUGCUGGUUGCUCCUCUGCUCUCAUUUAUUCUAGCCUGGUGGUCUGAGGGUUUUGGAUUAAAUCAAGUUCCAUCUUAGGACGCCUGGAUUCUGUUCCUUACUUUUCAGAGAGAAUGAAAAACAAAACAAAACAAAACUUUUCCUCCUUAUCGUAGAUACCUUGAUUUCUCUUGUGAAAUUGGAUUGACGCAGAAAAUACAAGUAACUUGUACGUGUCAAAGUGAGCCCCAUAGAGAGAAAGGGAUGCUACAACCCCGCCCUCACGUAAGGCCCUCACGUAAGAGGAGGCUCCUGGACCAGGAAGGAGGUGGAACCACCCUGCUUGUCCUACUGCUUCCCUGCUGUGCCACCUUCCUUCGCAGGCAGAGCUUGGGCUUCUGUUAAAAUGAGUGGUUCAGCAGCAGUAGAAGGCAUUGGCGGAGGAAUCCACCCCAGAUCCAGGGGGUUCUGCCCAGUAGAUGGCAGACAGAAGGGAGUGUGGAUUUAUUAGAAG
Molecule: long non-coding RNA, 1495 nt
Filed under: Rhinolophus ferrumequinum (greater horseshoe bat)
Lineage: Eukaryota; Metazoa; Chordata; Mammalia; Chiroptera; Rhinolophidae
Description: lncRNA (ENSRFEG00010010396.1)
Source: RNAcentral